Molecule: long non-coding RNA, 559 nt
Organism: Peromyscus eremicus (cactus mouse)
Lineage: Eukaryota; Metazoa; Chordata; Mammalia; Rodentia; Cricetidae
Exons: 3
Source: RefSeq, a predicted model, not a curated record
AGGCUGCUCAAAGGCCCAUCUCUAGGUAAUUCUAGAUCCUGUCAAGUUGGCAGCUAAUACCAUUACAGUUCCUUUCUUUUUUCAAUAUAUUUACCCACUCAUGUUCAUACCAUCAUUAGAAACAAAAACUUGUUUUAAAGUAGAUGAAAGGAAAAUAAAGUGUGCAAUUUACAGUGGGAUAGUAAGCAGCCUUAUAAUGGAAGAAAAAUUUGAUAAAUACUACAAAAUGGAUGAGCCUUGAGGACCUAAUUCCAAGUGAGCCACGGAAAGGAAGUGACUGGGCAGAACCGAACAGAGUCUGGGGCAAGGAUGACUUCCAACAGAAGGAAUGGACUGCACGGGCCUGUGCCCAGUGAUGGCUCACAGACAACAAGGACCUGGGAGAAGUCCUCAGCGGCCAGCCAGGAGUGAGCCGGGAGGAGAUGAAGAGGAACUGCGCUUCCAGGACCCUCUUUAGAAAGAAAAGGCUUCCGAGGGACUUCAGAGGGGAAGCAGAGAGGAGCUGUUUCUUCUCUGGACGAGUUCAGUUAAGAUUAAACACUGUGACCCUUCUGCCUGA